This 73-nucleotide transfer RNA is filed under the name Streptomyces coelicolor. RNAcentral describes it as "tRNA-Gly". The record is from RNAcentral. RNAcentral also lists the same sequence under 6 other names. Lineage: Bacteria; Bacillati; Actinomycetota; Actinomycetes; Kitasatosporales; Streptomycetaceae.
CGUUGCCGUAGGCGGGGCCGUCGCCGGCGCCGUUGCCGCCGGCCUUGACCACGGUGCCGCCGUGGGCGGCGAC